UCCGCCGGACCACGUUGAUCUGGCAGACUCGGGGGUUUCCGGGCUGCACGUUUCGGCACAAUGGCAGCGCACUGCGUCGCGUAUGGCUGUACUAAUUACUUUUACGGCAAAGAGGCGGUGAAGUUUUUUGUAUUUCGGUCAGCGAAACUGUAUCCCCAGAAGCGAGAUGGUUGGAUUACUGCGGUAAAAAGGAAGAAUUAAGACGGUUCGUUGUGGCAACCGAACGAACAUUCACGCAUUGGCAGCGCGCAUUUUAUUGCAGGGUGGCCGUCAACCUUUAAGAAUCAUCCCGAGUACGUGCCAAAUAUGUUCUGCUACAAGAGAACUCCGGGCCAGGCAGGUGCGGAUCAGCACAGCCAUUCGCUUAAAAACCAAGGUGCUGGCAUGAAUGAAAAUACAUCUGCAGCCCAGCCGGGGCUACUAAUUACCAUGCAACAGCCUGCAUCCCCAUCACCGGCUCAAGGGGAAACCACUAAAGGAAUUCGGUCACUAUACUACGUCAGUAUAAAGACAUUUAGGUAUAUGUAGCAUAGGCAUUAUGAAUCGUAACCUGACAUUAAUGUUUCCUGUGCUGAGUUUACUUUAAUCCUCCCUGGAAUUUGUCUCAGCAUUAUAUAACACUGCACUUUAUUUUCCACAUUAACAAGAGUUUUCUGCGAAUAAUACAGAAAUACACCAUCAAAGAUCAUCAUCAGCCUAACUGCGCCCACUGCUGGGCAAAGGCCUCUCCCAUAUUUCUUCAAUAACCUGAUCGUGUGCUAGCUGCAGCCUUUGUUAUCCCGGCAACCUCCUUAAUCUCAUCCACCCACCUAACAUUCGACGUCCCCUGCUAUGCUUGCCAUGCCUUGGAAUGAGCCCGUUACUCUUAAUGCCCAUCGGCUAUAUUGCCUUCUUGGUUUCCACCAAGCCGUCAUCAACACGGAUUUGUUCCCCGACCCCUCCUGUUCUUUUCUUGUCUCUUAACAUUACACCUAUAAUUCCUUUCCAUAACUCACUGCAAUUAUCACUGGCAUGAAACUGCACUUUCAGCAUUUUAGUCCCGUUUUUUUUCUAUAGUGCACCUUGGCAAGCGUUAUGUUUGGCUUUGAAACAAAGCUGGGUCCGUGAUCAUUUUCUAACCGGAGCGGAGUGAGCAUGGGUUAUUAUAAGUCAACAUUAGGUUGGUUUCGUGCUGUUGAACGUCCCAAAUCGACUCAGUCCAUGAGGGACACCGUAGUGGAGCGCUCUGGAAAUUUUGACCACCUGGGGUUCUUUAACGUGCACCGACAAAGCACAAUACACGGGCCCCUUGCAUUUUGCCUCCAUCGAAAUGCGACCACCGUGGUAUGACACUCUUAAGAUUCCUGUGCCGUAUGCAGUACAGCUAUGGAAACAGUGGUUGUCUCUAGGCAACCAAUAUGUUCUAUCACAGGACCUCUCCUACCCGAGUGAAAGUGACAGUUUGUUUCUUUUUGCCAUCAUUUGCCGAUACCAAGCCAUUGCGGGCACCGCUGCCAGAAUGCAGUUGUCAACAGUGCAGUUGUGGCAACGUGAGACGCAUGGAGCGCACUCUCGGUGAACUGCAGAAAGUUGCUAUCGAGCUUCAGAACAGAAACCUAAGGCUUGAAAACAAGCUUGAAAGGGUAGAGUCAAGACUUCUCACAGUAAAAAUACUGCAUGAUCCAAGCAAAUGCAUGCAUUAUGUUGGACUUCCAAACAUUGGAGUUUUCCAAAGCUUACUGGACUACCUAACC
Long non-coding RNA from Dermacentor albipictus, 1733 nucleotides. RefSeq lists it as uncharacterized. Lineage: Eukaryota; Metazoa; Arthropoda; Arachnida; Ixodida; Ixodidae. The record is from RefSeq and is a predicted model, not a curated record.